Heterocephalus glaber (naked mole-rat) is the source of this 6974-nucleotide non-coding RNA. Lineage: Eukaryota; Metazoa; Chordata; Mammalia; Rodentia; Bathyergidae. The record is from RefSeq and is a predicted model, not a curated record.
CAGGACCUGCUCAUGGGAGGCUCAGUGGGUGCUUUCAGAAGCCAGGAUAUGUGGAGGAGGAGGGGCGUCCCCUGCCUGUGGUUUGCAAAGAUGGUUCUGGUGGCUCUGUACUAAGGACUGAGGCUCCAGACUGGAGCUAGGAAUCCAGUUAAGAGGCUCUGUGAUAUUCCCACACCCUUGAGGGUGAUGAGCCUGAGCCCACGCAGUGUCCGAGAGCAUGGGGGAGAAGAGAGGAGCCUGAGAUUUCAGGCUGGAGUCCAGGGCUUGAGGACGAAUUUGGUGCUGGAGAAGGAGUAGUGGAAGAAGAUCCAAUUAAUCCAAGCCAAGGCCUCAAGAGGAGCACAACUUGAAGGCAGCUGGGAAGGGAAGGGACAGGUCGGUUCCGCUGUAGACACCCUGAGUCUGAGGAUCCCUCGGGACUUGUAUGGUUGGGAUGAAGGCUCGAGGGAAGUCAGAGCAGGAGGUGUAGAUUUGGGCUUCUGGAUAUGUGCAUGAAUUAAAUCACAGGGGAAUGAGACUGCCAGGGAGAGGGUACAGAGUAAGAGCGGAAGUCUUGUUAUAAGACCCUUGGGUAAAUAAAGACUCACAGUCCUUUCGGAGGAGGAGCACACCAAGAAACAGUGACCAGAGAGGCCAGGGAACCAGGGAGAGGAGCUGUCAUGGAGAUGCCACCGGGGCUGUGGCUGUUCCCAACGCCUGUCCCUCCUUCCUCUUUCCUAUCCUGUGACUGUCCUUGGCAUAAGCAUAUGGAUAUUCCUACUCCAGAGAAAGAAUCUGGAUCAUGGAAGCCGGUGGUGGUGCUCUCAUCUCCUCACCAGUGAUUGGCUUGGGACUGACCCGUUAGGAUCAAUGAAGUAUGAAGGCCCAGGAAUUAGCAGUUGAAAGGCCUCCAUCAGGAAGCUUUGUCAGGCACCUGUGUGGCACGUUUGCAGCUGUAAUUAGAUUUGGAAUUGGCUUUUCCAGGGGAGCCUGCAGCUCUUGGGAGACCUUGCUGAAGGUGCAGGUUCCCCCGCUGGAGUGGGUCUGUCCAGGCCGGGCUGGGUGGGAUUCUCUAGCCUGUGCUGCUGGUGCUGCUAAGGGUUUGGUUUCCUGGGCAGGAAGGGACCGGAAUCUGGAAGCUCCCUUACCCACAGCAGAUGUGAGGAGGGUGCUGGCCCAAGCAUGCUUGGCUCAAGUUGGUGCUGGAGUCAAAACUAGGGUGGUGGCAGAACUCAGCCUGCCUGACUGGGAAGCAAGUUCACAGGGUGAAGCGUGGAGCUGCCAAGCUCCAAGCUCUGGAAGGCCUGCAGUGUAGACCAAGGGCUAGAAAUAGCAGGCCAGAGAGCUGUGGCUGGCCUUCUCCAGGGACAGCGCUCUUUUAAGUUCAACUAGGAGCUGUGAUUUGAGGUCACUUCUGUGUCUGCCAGGCCCUGGAAAGGGGUAGAUGUCCCUGGAGCACACAGAAGCCUCCUGUUCAUACUGGGCAACCUUGGCCUUGGACCCCAGGGUUUCUGGACCUUGGUUUUCAGGACUGUCCAACCUGGGGAUGGAAAUGGUAUGUGACCUCUUCCCAGAGGCCCUGCAAGGGUAUGCUGAACCUGAGGGCUCCACCUGCCUGACACAUUGGGUCAGUGACCAUGUGGCCAUGACAACAUCUCUUCUUCAACACGGGAGUGGGGAAGAAGCUCAGGGAAGGGGGGUGCUGUCAAAUCAGGAGGAGGAAGGAAUGGGAGUUGGCCAGGACUGGAGACUGGAGAUGCUGGUCAGCACCCAGCAACCAGAACAUUCUAGCACAUUCCAGCACAUUCCUGAAAGGGAGCUUCCUUGGGAAGAAGCUGCAGUUUUACAGGGAUGACAGGGAAGGCACUGUGAAAAUAGUGAAAUUGUCCCAGCUUCUGUGGUACUGUGAGGUUGUGCUUGUCCUCUCCUCCUCUCUCUGCCUCUGCUUCUUUGUUUUCUCUUCCUUUCUGUUUUCCCAGCUCUCCCCUUCCCUUCUGUCUUCUCCCUCCAUCCUUUCUUGUCUCUCCGAAUGUCACCUUGGCGUUGGGUCUCUUUCUGGCCACCACCUGUGACUGAGUCUCUAUCACAUACGCUCACACGUUCUCACCUAGUGUCACACCCACAGUGCCGCGCGCACACACACACACACACACACACGCUCACACGCCCUGGGCCUGGCUGGAUCGUCAUCAUGCUGCUGCCGGCCCUGGGCAACAGAGGAAUCGCACGUGUUCGGCACACUUUCCCUGUGCUCUCACUGACACCUCCUCACUCAUCCCUUGCUUUAUAAAUACUCGCUUACAACGUCACCUGUGUCUUCAUCGCUUUUUAUCAGCAAACAUUCCAAUGCCUUCCUGGUGCCUCCUGCUGCGGUGCGGGGCAGGUGGGCCCUGAGAAGCCACUCCAGCAGCGGGAGGGCAGCCCUCAGCUCUGUGAGCCCCGGCAAAGGCUGCAGUGUCCACGCCGGCACAGUGCUCCCCAUUAGGGCAGUGUGGAGCCAGGGUACCCGAGGGAGUCUGGGUCCUGACUUUCCCAUGCAUCUCUGGCAGACCAUGCAACCUCUUCUGGCCUCGGCUUACUUUUCCUCUCACUUGCUUUUAGAGAUGGGGUGCUGGGCUGGAAUUCUUGGGGUCUGAUAAUCCUCUUGCCUUGGCUGCCCAAGUAGCUGGAACUACAGGUGCUCACCCCCGGUGCUGCCCAGCAGGUCAUUAUUAUUUUAAAUCUAGAAAUUGGGUGUUUUGUUUGCUUCAUUGAUUACACAUGGGUUCUGCGGCGUGCGCUCCCUCCGAGGGUGAGGACAGUGAGUAUAAUGAUGGUACUGACGCCAUUGAGUGUCCCAUGCUGUUUGUCAGGCACUGUUCUAAGUGCCUCAGUGUUUCGGCACCAUCUUAUAACCACCUCGUGAGAUGGUAGUGUUAUGUCUGUUUCACAGGUGAGGAAAUGGAGGUACAGAGAGGUUAAGCUACUUGUCCAAGGUUGCACAACAGGUAAGUAGCUGAGCUGGGUUUCAAACCUAGCACCUGGGCCCAGACCCUACCUCCUUUGCUUGUUUCCCUGAUGGCCUGUGGAAUACUCUCCUUUCCAGACUUUUCUGGGGUGGCCUGGUAGAAUGAUGUUGGUGCCCUCUCCUCAGGACCUCUGAGAAACUAUAUUUACAGGCCUGGCUGUGUGGACAGUGCUCAGGGGAGGUCAUGCGGUCCUGGGACUGUGUGAUCCUCUCUCCUGGGGCCUUCUGAGGGACGUGGGGUCCCUGUGAAGACAGGGGCUGCAUUAACCAUCUGUGUGUCCAGGCUGUGUUGCCCAUUGUGCCUGUCUUUGGAGAAUCACUGUUCCCAGCCCUGCGCGCCAGGCCUCCCGUUUGUCAGCCAUGUUCCCUCUGGUUUCUGUGUAUCUGUGUUGUGUGUUGACUCUGGCUGCUGUCUUUGUUUCACUGCUAAAAGGAGAAUCCAGGUGGAACGAGGCCUAGCUCAUUCCUUCAGUCAGGACGCUGUGCUGACCAUCUAGGGGAUCCCAGGACGAACACAGUGUGCUCUGGCCACAGAAAUCUUGGGGUCCCAUAGAAGCACUCUCCAUCCACUACUGUGCCACAGCUGUUCGUGUGUGUGAGAGUGUGCACUGCCUCCAUGGCACACCCUGCAGGGCCAUGGACCGGGCUCUUGGGGAUGCCUCACAUAGCAGACAAUAGUUAAUAAGUUGGGGUGCAGAGACCCCCAAACACAAAUACAUUGAUUCAUACAACGUCAUUUUUUUUUCAAUACUAGGAAUUGAAAUCGUGGUCUGGCACAAACCAGGCUAAUGCAUUACCUCUGAGCUCCAAUUCCAACCCUUCUUAUUUUUUAUUCUGAGGCAGGAUCUCACUGAGUCACUAAAUUGUCCAGGCUAGCCUCAAACUUGCAAUCCUCCUGCCUCAGCCUCCCUGCAUAGCAGAGUGCAGAUAUAGAUGGCACUUAGGCUGAUGGGACAGCUCAACUCACAGUCACUCAGGGAUCCAGUGUGCCUUUCUUGUCCUUGGCUCUAACCCACUCUCGGUGUUGUCCCCCUGCAUGUGGCUGGAGCCUGGUGAGAGCCUUACGGGCAUUCCAGCCUGUGCGAAGGGUGACGGCAGGGCAGAGAGGCAGCUCACACAUCCUGUUGGCCAGAACUUGGACAUCUGGCCAUGCCUGGUUACAAAGGAGGUGGGGAAAUGUAGUCUAUGGGCAGAUGGUCACAUGUCCAGUCAGAAGUUUAAUGUGGCAGGAAGGGAUAACAAGGGAUCAUUAUCUCCAUUACUCUACCACCAUGAGUCAGGCUGUGGCAUGUGAGGAGAGUACUAUCAGGCAGAAAUUACAGCGGGAGGGGAUUCCAGGUACAUCUCAGAAGAUAGCAGAUGUGGGGAAGGUACAGGACACAUUUGGAGAAAGUGACUAUCCAGCCAGGUGAGGGGGCACAUUCAUCUAAUUCCAGCUACUUCAGAGACUGAGACAGGAUGAUUGCAAGCUCAAGACCAGCCUGGGACAUUUAGCAAGACCUUGUCUCAAAGAAAAGAGUAAAAAUAGGGCUAGGGAUUUAGCUCAGCGGCACCGAGCCUGAGUGGACAGGCUUCACACAACCUCUCAGCCUCCUCUCUUGUCCAACACAUGCUUAACACUGGGCAAGGCACGGGCAGAUCACAAAAGGGGCUGUCAGGGCCUCUCUCCAGGGCUGGGUCUUGGCUGUGUGUGGAUGUGGGAGUGUGGGGCCGUCACCUCGGCUGCACUAGCAGUUUGUCCAGUGUUUGGACAUCUUCUCAGGCCCAGUGGGCUCUGCGCAGCAGCUGGUCUCCUGCAGCUCCCGGCUGUCCAGCUCCUGCUCACCCCAAGGUGACUAUGUCACCUAUAGAGAUUUAGGAAACCAAAACCAUUGUGUGAGCCAGUGGCAUGAAGAAAAGGCACCAGUGCCCAGAUGGAGAGGCUUAGGACAUUCUCGAGGGGGCCUCCUUCUCUCUGGAACCUCGGAUGAAAUCAGCACAGACAUGCGGCGUGGACUCUGGGUCUCAAAAGAGGAGUAGAAACGAUUCAGACUGAGGCCACAGGGACAGGAAAUCACUAAGUAGUCAGCACCUCGCCCCCAUGUGAGGGGCCCCCUUCCCCUGGCCAGGGCUUAUUCCUCACUCAGGAUAUUCUCCCUUUCCUUCUUGUUUUCCCAGCGCAGCGCUCCAGGUGCUUGCAGCAGAAUCACUGGCUGUCCUUCAACAAAUGCAGACUCCUGGGCCGCCUCUCAGAUGUACUGUUAGAAGCUGAGGAUGGGACCCAGGUGUCUGCAUUUUUAACCAGCUCCCUGGGUGACUCUGAGGCACUGCCCACUAGGAACUGUUGGCCCCAAGAUCACGGAUAUCAGAAGAAGAGAUGUACAGGAACAUAGCUACACCCAGAAUCACCAUUGCCUAAACCUGUGGUCACCUUGGAUGCCAGCAGAGCCUCAUACAACUGAACUUGUCUCUCAGUUCGUGAAGACUCGCCUUAUAGGAACCCAGUUGCCCCCCAAGUUGCGAGGAGUCCUCUGGAGCUGGAAACCAGGCUGAGAGCAAGAGUCUGACUCAGUGGCCCCAUCUGUGCGUGGAGUCCAGGACUCUCCAGGGUUGUAUGGAGAACUAGGUGAGAGCUUCUACAGAACCUAUCUGGUGCCUAGCACGACAUUCAGCAAAGCAGAUUUAAAAACUUCUUUUAUAAAGAAAACCAAGUUAUGUCUCAUCCAGAAGAGAAAAGAGUGCAUGUAAAAUUAGCAUUACAGCCCAGUGGAAGCUGUCCUGCACCUCACCCUCUCAGGAGUGCCGGAAACCUCAGUCUAGGGGCCCUUCUGCCACUCCUCCUUCUAGCCACAGGAGUCUCCAGUAGGGAGGCACCCCCUUUUUAAAAGGGGAAAGCUUUCCUGCACAGAGUCACUCGGGACACCUGCAGACCUCUUCCCAGAUGUCUCCAGCCAGUUCGAUUUAGGGUACUGGCGAUGGAUUCUUGGGAUGAGCAUUUAAAAGCAGGUGCUUCUUACCUUUUCAAAAGUUAGGGAAACAGCCAUUUAAAGCAAAUUUAACCCUCUGGUUCAUUUCUGACGAACCAGAAAUUUCCUCCCUUACUACCCAUAAUUCUUUGUCUUUCCCCGGCUUUAUCCAGGGCUCAGAAAACAGUAUUUGAGGUGUGAAGACCUGAGAGUUGUGUUUGGAGAUUACAAAGCAUAAAAUCUUAGUAUGUGUUUAUGUCGUUCACGUGUGAAUGUGCACACACACACACACACACCUGAAAACUACCUAUGGUGAUGGGGAAGGAAAUUGGCUAAAACCCUAAAAGCUGUGGGCUGCGACAGUGCUCCGAGGAAAUUCGUCUCCAGUACUAAGAUGAAAGGAGGAGGAGAUUCCAUAUGGGUGGAUGGGGAGAGCUUGGGAUACAAGGCAGAGUGGAGACUCCAGCACCUGAAUGGCCACAGUGCCACCCGUAGCUGUCACCAUCCUGCCAUCCUGGAACUGGGGAGGGCGAACACUGCCUUAGAUGCUUCAAGCCUAGGGAAGCGGGAAGCGGGGAACCUGUCCUGCUAACUUGUGCACAAGGGAAGCACUUUGCCAAGCCUCGUGAGGACAGGCCUAGGCAGUCGGUCAUCCCUGCUGGCACCCCACCCCCAGGACAAUCCUAGAUGAGCUCUGUGUGCUCCCUGGGCCUGAGGGAGGCCCAAGGCCAAGGGCCUGGCUUUUCUCACUGAUCCCAGUGCUGCUGGUGACUCCAUUUUCUGACAUGACCUCUAACAGGAGCUUGAGAAUAACGUUGAGCAAGGUCACACUCAGCCACAUUUUGAGGAACCAUCUACACUGGCCAUGAGCAAGUGCAGGUGAAGUGCUGGCUUAACAGCAUUCUCCCAGGAUGGGUCAGGAACACCAGCGAUAGCAGGUGAUGGCCCUUGGGUAAUGACUUAUGAAAAACAAAACAAAAAAAAUCCCUAUGAAUCCACUAAAAUCCAUUAAGUUGUAUGUGUUACAUGAGUGAAUUGUAUGA